RNAcentral lists this transfer RNA (75 nucleotides) under Cricetulus griseus (Chinese hamster). It matches the Rfam family "tRNA". From Rfam's summary of the family: Transfer RNA (tRNA) molecules are approximately 80 nucleotides in length. Lineage: Eukaryota; Metazoa; Chordata; Mammalia; Rodentia; Cricetidae. The record is from Rfam by way of RNAcentral.
AGGGAUGUAGCUCAGUGGUAGAGUGUUUGCCUUGUAAGUACAAAGCCCUUGUGUGUUCAAGCCUCAACACCCCCA